GAUGAACGCUGGCGGCGUGCUUAACACAUGCAAGUCGAACGGUGAAGCAGAGCUUGCUCUGUGGAUCAGUGGCGAACGGGUGAGUAACACGUGAGCAACCUGCCCCCGACUCUGGGAUAAGCGCUGGAAACGGCGUCUAAUACUGGAUAUGAGCUGCGACCGCAUGGUCAGCAGUUGGAAAGAUUUUUCGGUCUGGGAUGGGCUCACGGCCUAUCAGCUUGUUGGUGAGGUAAUGGCUCAGCAAGGCGUCGACGGGUAGCCGGCCUGAGAGGGUGACCGGCCACACUGGGACUGAGACACGGCCCAGACUCCUACGGGAGGCAGCAGUGGGGAAUAUUGCACAAUGGGCGAAAGCCUGAUGCAGCAACGCCGCGUGAGGGAUGACGGCCUUCGGGUUGUAAACCUCUUUUAGCAGGGAAGAAGCGAAAGUGACGGUACCUGCAGAAAAAGCGCCGGCUAACUACGUG
This 467-nucleotide ribosomal RNA is filed under the name uncultured bacterium. RNAcentral's name for it is "partial 16S ribosomal RNA". It matches the Rfam family "Bacterial small subunit ribosomal RNA", at positions 28 to 507 of the family's 1533-position model. The record is from RNAcentral.